RNA transcript from Polypterus senegalus (gray bichir), 1536 nucleotides. It is a transcript of the gene named ribonuclease inhibitor-like, with no coding region annotated. NCBI's taxonomy places the organism in Eukaryota, Metazoa, Chordata, Cladistia, Polypteriformes, Polypteridae. The transcript is spliced from 5 exons. The record is from RefSeq and is a predicted model, not a curated record.
UGUUCAGUCUUCUCAUAUCUUUAAAUUCACUUGCCAUCCAGUCCUGUUCAUCUUUGCCUGUAGUGUCCUCAGGUUUUUCUUCUCACUCUCACUGAUGUCAUUUAACUGCAGCCUGUGAAGGACACAAGUGUGAGUUAAAAACAUAAGAGAACCCCACCUCACACAUUGUACUAUCACAGUGACACGCCCACUUAGGUCAACUUCCCAGAAUUCUCCACAGUGUCCCUAAGUCACAUGAGAUGUGUGUCACCCUGCCGGUCACUCAGUUUACUGUCCAGUCAGGUCACCGUCCUCUGAAGGCCUUUUGGUUUCAUCUCAUCUCAGUGAAGUUCUCUCACGUUCCUCGUAUUUUGUGGUUUGAACCCAAGAUGCAAGACCCCCUGCCCCCCAACUCUCUAAAGGCUGUGGCUCAUCUGACUGCGCUCUGGUUAUUGGUGGUCUUUGUCCAGUUUAGUCAGCUGUGAGUGUGGAGAAGAGAAGACUGAAGAGAGAGAUGAGGAACAUCUGGAGGUGAGACCACAAUCAGACAGGCUGUGGAGAUAAUGAAAGAGAAGUGAGGACAUGAGGAGGGACAGACAGACAGAAGGCCACAGAGCUCAAAGGCUCAAUGACUGCUGGCAUUUUUACUUUUUACUGAGUCUGUUUGAACCCGAGACCACCGCUGUUCUUAUAAGUAAGGCACCAAACACCUGAGAGGGUCUCCUGCCUUCAUGCUGUACUGACAGCUCUGAGAAGAAACCAAAUGAGGGGAACUGACUCAGCCGCAGUGCCCAGAGCUGCCCUUGUCCUUCUGGGUGGGACUCUUGAAAAGCUGCCGGCCCCCCAGUGGAUGGAGUCUGCUGUUGGACCCAGAAACAUAACAUGAAGCAAGCGCCAUCGUGUUCACACAACUGUACAGUAAAUUUGUCUAUUGGGCUGAAAAGAAAGACAGAAACAACACCACCAUAACUUUCCCCGGACUCACUAAACCACGCGCUGCUACUUCCGCAUUCCAUCCCUUCCUCUGGUCCUAUCUUGAUGUCGUCAUGACUCCCAUUCAACACCUCGGUUUCUUCCCAGCAAUCCAGUCAUCAGUUUCCGCUCCCUCCUCAUAUAAGUUCCCUCCAUCCCAUGCAAUGUUGUUCUUGUAAUGACCUCAAGUCAUAGCACUGACUGUGUUUAUUGUUUUUUUGAAAAUCUGCAAAGUAUACAGGGCCGGAAACCCCAAACCUUUAUCUGUUUCUGUGUCCUUUAUUACACUGUAUACUUUUUACCUAUUUUAAUUCUCUUCAUCAUCACUUUAAAAUUAUUAAUUAUUUCUUUAUAUUUGUAUAAAUUAUGCUUUGAAAAUUAAUUUCUAUUACAUACAGGUGCAGAUCUUUUAUGAAAGUAAUGAAGUUUAAUCUUCAGGGCUCAGAUGGGACUUUAGACACUUGAAUAAAAAGAUUGGGUGUCUGCUGUUUGAAAAAGGGGGUUUAAAACAUUAUAAUAACAAUUAAAUAGUGGCAUUCAAUACAAAAUAUUACUUAAAAUUAAAGUUUAAGCUUCAGAGCCCCA